GAGCGGGGAGGAGCGAAGAGCCGAGGGUAGAGCCGUGCGCGCCGGGCCGCUCUGAGGAGGCCGGGCCGGGCGGGGCGGCCGGGAGAGCCCGAGGCCCGACUGUCGGCGCGCCUGGAGCUAGCCGGAGAUCAUUUCCACUGACCUAUCUUUAAGUUCACUGACCCUUUCUUCUGUUCGGUCCAGUCUGACGUUCCUAUCCAGUGUUCUGUGAAGCUCCACUGAGGGGCUGAUUUCUUUCUAUCUUAUCAGGAGCUGAGACUGGCCCUGAGCUAACAUCCAUGCCCAUCAUCCUCUACUUUAUGUAUGGG
Molecule: long non-coding RNA, 308 nt
Organism: Equus quagga
Lineage: Eukaryota; Metazoa; Chordata; Mammalia; Perissodactyla; Equidae
Exons: 4
Source: RefSeq, a predicted model, not a curated record